RNAcentral lists this ribosomal RNA (441 nucleotides) under uncultured bacterium. RNAcentral's name for it is "partial 16S ribosomal RNA". It matches the Rfam family "Bacterial small subunit ribosomal RNA", at positions 338 to 795 of the family's 1533-position model. The record is from RNAcentral.
CCUACGGGUGGCAGCAGUGGGGAAUAUUGCACAAUGGGGGAAACCCUGAUGCAGCGACGCCGCGUGCGUGAAGAAGUAUUUCGGUAUGUAAAGCGCUAUCAGCAGGGAAGAAGAAAUGCGGUACCUGACUAAGAAGCCCCGGCUAACUACGUUACAGCAGCCGCGGUAAUACGUAGGGGGCAAGCGUUAUCCGGAUUUACUGGGUGGAAAGGGAGCGUAGACGGCUGUGCAAGUCUGAAGUGAAAGUCCAGGGCUCAACCCUGGGACUGCUUUGGAUACUGUGGAGCUAGAGUGCUGGAGAGGUAAGUGGAAUUCCUAGUGUAGCGGUGAAAUGCGUAGAUAUUAGGAGGAACACCAGUGGCGAAGGCGGCUUACUGGACAGUAACUGACGUUGAGGCUCGAAAGCGUGGGGAGCAAACAGGAUUAGAUACCCGUGUAGUC